CAUCUCUUUCCUGCUGGGCAGGCAGGCAGAGUGGACACUAAGCUCACACUUUCAAGGUUGUGAGGUGGGGACAGCUGCAGAGCUCCUGAGGCCUAGACUGCAAAUGUGGAUGAAGAAGAUGAGGACAAUGCUGAUGGAACCCACUGCGGGGUGUCUAUCACCAGGAGUCAGGUAGUGCCUGGGACAUGAAGCAGUGCCUGGGACCUCGUUUCUGGUCCCUUACUAUAAUCAUCUUCCUAGAAACAAUUUAAAUGAACGCAUGAAUUUUAAUUAAUUUAACAACAAUAUCUAGCAUUCAUGGGGUACCUCUCUGCUAAGCUCUCUGACAUUUAUGGCACUUUCUCAUGAAAAGCGUAAGAUUAUCCCUAUUUUACAGACAAGGAAACUAAGACUAAUAGAGGUUAACUCAUGAGAGGUUGCAGCUACAAAAGGUGGAGCUGAGAUUUGAGUUCAAAGGCCUGGAUGACACCCCCCCCCCCGCCACCAUUUCCAUGUCCUGCAGGAGGGCUGAUGUCUCUCCCCAGUAACCCCUCAGCGUCACCCGGGGAGGCUGAAGUGUUCUGGGCUGCCCCAAUCUACAGCAUCAGCUUUUGGAGUGUGGCUCCAGGGUCAUGUCCUGUAGGCACCUGUCCCAGUUAAGCUGUGGCGUUUGAGAAUUUAGAGCUGGCUGACUCCCGAAGGGCAGGGAUCUGCCCAGGACUGGCACGGGACACGGUCCAAGGAAGGGUCAGAAGCGUUCACUGAACCAAACACAGGGUGAGCAGGCCCCUCACCAGGCCAGCUAUCCGGAGCUCCUGACGCCUCGUGGUCUUCUCCUGUUCCUUUCCUGUACUCUUCACUGCCGGCUCCCAGGCUGCACCCAGUCCAGACUUCCCUGCAUUGGGAGAAGCCAGGCACACCUGACACCAGGAAGCUGCAUUUUGUUAGUAAGAACAAACUCAGCCCCUCAGGCAGCUUUUAAGACAGAUAUCGUCUGGAUGCCUGAACGAAAUAGCUUUGGUGGGCUCACGCAGCAUAGAGAGGCAAGCUUGGGUCUCCUCCUCUUGAGAAUUUUCUUUUGGUUUAUUUGAACUUGGGAUGGAACCCAGGCCCUUCACACUGAGCUACUUCCCCAUCCUUUUCUCAUCUUUUAUUUUAUGACAGGGACUUGCUUAAUUACCAAGUUGCCCAGACUAGGCUCAAUUUCAAUCCUCCUGCUUCAGUCUCCCAGAGUGCUAGGAUUAUGUGUGUGCCCCCCAUGAUUGGCUCCUCUGACAAGUUUUAAACAUAAAAAAGGAUUAUUUAUCAACACGAAAUACCCAGAUAUCAAGCAAUUGUGUGAAAUCAUGGGUUUGAUCUCCAGCACUACAAAAAACAAAAUAUCAAGUAAUAAAUAAGUCAUGGUAUCUAUAAGGGAUACUACAUGCAUACUAUGGAAUAUUAAGCAGUCACCAAAAUUUAAGAAUUUCUAAGGAUAUUUAAUAAUAUGGGGAAAUAUUCACCAAAAAUAAGGGGAAAAAGUAGGGUACAAAAUUAUAUACACUGG
This 1525-nucleotide long non-coding RNA is filed under the name Heterocephalus glaber (naked mole-rat). Its description in RNAcentral is "lncRNA (ENSHGLG00100045177.1)". Lineage: Eukaryota; Metazoa; Chordata; Mammalia; Rodentia; Bathyergidae. The record is from RNAcentral.